UACGAAGGUGGCAAGCGUUGUUCGGAAUCACUGGGCAUAAAGCGCACGUAGGCGGCUGCGUUAGUCGGAUGUGAAAUCCCUCAGCUCAACUGAGGAACUGCGUCCGAUACUGCGCGGCUUGAGGUCUGGAGGGGGGAACGGAAUUCCUGGUGGAGCGGUGAAAUGCGUAGAGAUCAGGAGGAACGCCGGCGGCGAAAGCGGUUCCCUGGACAGAUUCUGACGCUGAGGUGCGAAAGCUAGGGGAGCAAACGGG
RNAcentral lists this ribosomal RNA (253 nucleotides) under uncultured bacterium. RNAcentral's name for it is "partial 16S ribosomal RNA". It matches the Rfam family "Bacterial small subunit ribosomal RNA", at positions 524 to 776 of the family's 1533-position model. The record is from RNAcentral.